This 617-nucleotide ribosomal RNA is filed under the name uncultured bacterium. Its description in RNAcentral is "bacterial SSU rRNA". It matches the Rfam family "Bacterial small subunit ribosomal RNA", at positions 54 to 683 of the family's 1533-position model. The record is from RNAcentral.
CAUGCAAGUCGAACGAGAAAGUCCCUUCGGGGGCUAGUAAAGUGGCGCAAGGGUGAGUAACACGUGAAUAAUCUGCCCUCGAACCUGGGAUAACUUGGCGAAAGUUAAGCUAAUACCGGAUAAGACCACGUUUCGCAGGAAACGCGGUAAAAGGAGUCUCAAACUUCAUUUGAGGAUGAGUUCGCGGACCAUUAGCUUGUUGGCGGGAUAACAGCCCACCAAGGCUACGAUGGUUAGCCGGCCUGAGAGGGUGAUCGGCCACACUGGAACUGAUACACGGUCCAGACUCCUACGGGAGGCAGCAGUGGGGAAUAUUGCGCAAUGGGCGAAAGCCUGACGCAGCAACGCCGCGUGAGGGAUGAAGGCCUUAGGGUCGUAAACCUCUGUCAAAUGGGAAGAAUUAUGACGGUACCAUUAAAGGAAGCCCCGGCUAACUCCGUGCCAGCAGCCGCGGUAAUACGGAGGGGGCAAGCGUUGUUCGGAAUUAUUGGGCGUAAAGCGUAUGUAGGCGGUUAAACAAGUCAGGUGUGUAAGCCCACGGCUCAACCGUGGAAUUGCAUUUGAAACUGUUUGACUUGAGUUCAGGAGAGGAAAGUGGAAUUCCCAGUGUAGCGGUG